RNAcentral lists this ribosomal RNA (240 nucleotides) under uncultured bacterium. RNAcentral describes it as "partial 16S ribosomal RNA". It matches the Rfam family "Bacterial small subunit ribosomal RNA", at positions 30 to 263 of the family's 1533-position model. The record is from RNAcentral.
AUUGAACGCUAGCGGAAUGCUUUACACAUGCAAGUCGAACGGCAGCACGGAGAGCUUGCUCUCUGGUGGCGAGUGGCGAACGGGUGAGUAAUGUAUCGGAACAUACCCAGUAGCGGGGGAUAACUACUCGAAAGGAGUGGCUAAUACCGCAUACGCCCUACGGGGGAAAGGGGGGGAGUCUUAGGACCUCUCACUAUUGGAGUGGCCGAUAUCGGAUUAGCUAGUUGGUGGGGUUAAAGG